GCCUGCGUUGCACAGUGGUAGUGCGUGUCUUUCCUAUCAACUCCUCGUCACGGGAUUUCAGAAAGGACAAGGUCGUGGGUUCGAUCCCCACCGUGGGUU
This is a non-coding RNA of Naganishia onofrii, 99 nucleotides long. The record is from the annotation of a GenBank genome assembly. Lineage: Eukaryota; Fungi; Basidiomycota; Tremellomycetes; Filobasidiales; Filobasidiaceae.